RNAcentral lists this ribosomal RNA (460 nucleotides) under uncultured bacterium. RNAcentral describes it as "partial 16S ribosomal RNA". It matches the Rfam family "Bacterial small subunit ribosomal RNA", at positions 338 to 795 of the family's 1533-position model. The record is from RNAcentral.
CCUACGGGAGGCAGCAGUGAGGAAUAUUGGUCAAUGGACGCAAGUCUGAACCAGCCAUGCCGCGUGCAGGAAGACGGCUCUAUGAGUUGUAAACUGCUUUUGUACGAGGGUAAACGCAGAUACGCGUAUCUGUCUGAAAGUAUCGUACGAAUAAGGAUCGGCUAACUCCGUGCCAGCAGCCGCGGUAAUACGGAGGAUUCAAGCGUUAUCCGGAUUUAUUGGGUUUAAAGGGUGCGUAGGCGGUCGGAUAAGUUAGAGGUGAAAUCCCGAGGCUCAACUUCGGAAUUGCCUCUGAUACUGUUCGGCUAGAGAGUAGUAGCGGUAGGCGGAAUGUAUGGCGUAGCGGUGAAAUGCUUAGAGAUCAUACAGAACACCGAUGGCGAAGGCAGCUUACCAAGCUACUUCUGACGUUGAGGCACGAAAGCGUGGGGAGCGAACAGGAUUAGAUACCCCUGUAGUC